Mya arenaria is the source of this 3429-nucleotide long non-coding RNA. RefSeq lists it as uncharacterized. NCBI's taxonomy places the organism in Eukaryota, Metazoa, Mollusca, Bivalvia, Myida, Myidae. The record is from RefSeq and is a predicted model, not a curated record. The transcript has 3 exons.
UCACAGGCAUCUGGCUCAUUGCGUUCCUAAAUACCUCGGCCAGUAUUAAACUGGAAUUGGCCUCGGAAAUAAUACGGGUUAUUAGAAAAUAGUCCAUCAUGGCCGACCAAGGAGAUGUUCAAACAACCAAGCCAUAUGUUAGACCAAAGACAGGAUGAGGGGAGAACUAUUAGUAUUACCACUUAUUUGUGUGGCAGUAUGGUACCAGUGGUGCGGCCGGCUCAGAAUUCCUGGCUUGUUCUGAUGAAAAAAGGCAGAUGAGGCACUGGAAUGUAAUCAAAUAUGCCAUUGUACUGAGGAUUGACCUGCAAUACACGGAAAACAUGUAACACAACUGCAAAGCCAACCUGGAAAGGAAAAUAAGUACAAGAUGGAAACAAAGUGGAAUAACAUGUUCAAUGGAACAACUUGAUAUUUGAUGACUUACAUACUGAUGUGAAGUUGCAGAUAAAAGUCAACUGUUGGCCCGUGAUUAGUAAAUACAAAAAGUAACAUUAAACCCUCGAUGCCUAAAGCAAUACAAUCUGAAGCUGGACAUUUACUUUACAACCUAGAUAGAGCCAGACUCGUUAAUUAUGCUUGGUAGUGCUACUCAGUGGUAACCCUCUUGCAGUCAACUUUCUUAAAUAUAUUUUUCAGACUAUUUGAGUGAACUUUACAUUUAAACCCGACACAUAUUUCUUCACUGUGGAACUUUUUUAACAACGGAAAGUGCAUAUUUAUAGAUAUUUAUUCAACUGUGUGGUAAAGGAUUUAUCUACGCUUAAAACGAUUUUCAUAAGAAGGAGGGAAGAUAACUACAGAAACAGGAACAUAUGGAAUUGGCAGACAUUAGUUCAUUUUAAAAUACUUCAGAAAGCCCUAAUAGGGCACAUGCCAUACUGUAAGAGAGUGAUUCUGCUUUCAGCUUGCGUUGGAAUCUAGCUGAAAUUAUUAGGUUUAAAAUAAGAUACUUGCUGACUUGCAAACAGUUGUUUCCAUUUGUGUUGAUUUGUUUUUUUAGUCUGUUUGUUAGAAGUGAUGAGCACUGCAACUAAUAUUUAUUUUCUUUAUUAAGUUGAAUUUAACACACUUAAUAUGACUUGUGAUUUUACUGAUACAUUUUUAGCUGACCAGAGCACAUUGUGCUCAGGGUGAGCUAUUGUGAUCGCUCUUUGUCUGUUGUCCAUCCGUCAACAAUUGCUUAACAAACAUCUGCUCUGAAACUACCACUCCAAAUUCAAUGAAACUUCACAGGAAGCUUCCUUUGGUGUCCCUCUAAAAAAUACAACAGGGGUCACGAUUGAUUAACAACAACAACAACAACAAAAUGGCCUACUUCCUGUUUUGCUUUAAAAAACAGCUCCUCUGAAACUACAUGUACCAGUCCAAUUCAAUGAAACUUUACAGGAAGCUUCAUUGGGUGACCUUUUCAAAAUACAAAAAGGGGUCAUGAUUGAUCAUCAAUAACAACAACAACAACAACAGUAACAACAACAAAAUGGCUGACUUCCUGUUUUACUUUAAAACAUCUUUUCUGAAACUGCCACUCCAAAUUCAAUGAAACUUUACAGGAAGCUUCCUUGGGUGCCCCUCUACAAAAAUACAACAAGGGGUCACGAUUGAUCACCAACAACAACAACAACAAAAUGGCCAACGUCCUGUUUUGCUUAAAAAAACAUCUCCUUUAAAACUUCCAGUCCAAAUUCAAUGAAACUUUACAGGAAGCUUCCUUGAGUAAUCUUGUACAAAAAUACAACAAGGGGUCACGAUUGAUCAACAACAACAACAAAAACAAUCUGGUGUUAAAAUCUUGAUAGUUAUGUAAAGUUUACUCUUGAAGCAAGGGCAGCAAACCUUGCUCUAUGGUCUCCCUUUCUGUUGAACAGUGUAUUGUCUAUUUUUAGUUUUUCUAUUUUUAGUAAGAAGGGGUAUAUGUUAUAUUUUUUAAUUCUUCAAAUUAGUCACUUUUAAGGUAAUAAUUUUUUUUCAUAGGUUAAUAUUAGGAAUAAUUAUAUCUCUUUAUAUUAUCUAUAGAAGAAUUUCAUUUUUACUCAAUGAUGAAUUAAAUGAUCAGACUUUUCCAUUUAACUACAUGUAGACCAUUGUAAUUGUACAAUCUUAUCUUUUUCGUGGUUAGUUAAUACACCUUAUAUAAACAAGACUGUAACACACACUCAUAGAUGGGAAGCCAUGCUGUGUUGGAUUAAAAUUGAGACAAAGUAACUGUAGGCUCUUCAUAAGUAUUUUUUAUCAAAUCCUCAUAAUUUAAAGCAGUACAAUAUUUUAUUGGAUGGUGCGCUGUCCGUCGUUCCUAUGUCUUACACAAUUGCGUUAAAAUCAAAUUAUGCCUGUGGGGUCAAAACUCGCUUUGCCAUAAGGUUUUCUGUGGACUUAUAGAAAAUCUUCUUGUCUGACACUGCUAGGCCGAAACCUUUAAUAAUUUGUUACGAGCAUCAUAUAGUGGUCCUCUACCAAGAUUGUGCAAAUUAAGCAAAUUUGGUUCCACCCUUUUUUACCUAGUCCUACUGUCUUAUUUUUGAAACUACAGCAAAGAAAUAUUCACCAUGUUCACAAUUCUGUAAACCAAUAACAAUGGGCGUUUUUGUUGGUAAUAAACUGGUUUCGGUUUUAUUUUGUUUUCACAAACUAUGUAUUUAUUGUCACAGUUUCAAAUAAAACCGAAACCAGUUUUAUGGGUUUUUUUAAACAUAAACCGAAACCAGUUUUUGAGUCACUAUCGAAACCCCUACUGAAGGUGGGUUCAUCGAUUCAUUCCAUCCGAAAACUAGUUUUCUUUUAAAACAGCAUGGCGGUAAUUGAUCAACCAUGUUUGUUGAAACUCAAUGUUUUUUUAAAACAAUGCCUUACAAUGGGCAAAUGAGCUAAAUGAAAAUGGUACUAUUAAUAAGUGUGUGUUAAUAUAUCAGUUUGUAUGCUCCGCCAUAUUGUUGGAACUGUUCACAAAAACAUGCUUUUGUAACUUCAAGCAAAAUUAUCAAAACCGGUUUCGAAUCUGCUGAAACAAUUGAAACCAAACUGAAACUGGUUUGGUAUCAACACAAUUGCCCUAUGUUGUGGUUGGAUGACCUUGACUGUGACUGCCUACUUUCUUAUUUAUGAAGCUAUACAGCAAUGAAAUUUAGAUCAUGUGUGGAGUUUUGAAAACAAAUAUCAAUAUUGUCCUUGGAUGACCUUGAAAGUGACUUUUUGACCUACUUCUUUUUUUAAGGUGCAGCAAUAACAUUUUGACCAUGUGUACAGUUUUGAAAACAAUUAUCAAUGCUGUGGAUUACCUUUAUUGUAACUUUUUUGCAACUUAUUUUUGAAGCUAAGUUUUGAAAUUUGAAUCAUAUGUACAGCUUUGAGAACAAAUAUCAAGCUAUAUUGAUUACAAAGGUUAAACUCUUUUACUCAGGUGAGCAAUUUAGGGCCAUCAUGGCCCUCUUG